AUCAAUGUCCUUCCAAUCGUCGGCAUGGCCAUCAAGGGUGACAAGUCCAGGCCUGAACUCGGCUUGCACUCGGAUUCCCGAGUCGGACUCACAUCUCCACUCACCGGACUCCUGGUGCGAGCUGGCCCACCCGAUCCAAACGGAGACCAGAACCAAUAAGACCAACGAGACUCGAGCCAUUGUAAGCGAUGAAGUUUCCUUGCUGUAUAGAGACGGUGCUGCGUUGGCGUGCUCUUGGCCUGCAUUCCUUGGGCGACUCUAGCUUGUGUUAUAAUUUGCGCUUGACUUUGGAUUUUUAGGAAAUAAUCCAGGAAAGGAAAAGAGUUGGUACUAAUUUUCAGCCUUGUACUACCGAUGGAGAGAGAAGCAUGGACCA
RNAcentral lists this unclassified non-coding RNA (376 nucleotides) under Hevea brasiliensis (rubber tree). Lineage: Eukaryota; Viridiplantae; Streptophyta; Magnoliopsida; Malpighiales; Euphorbiaceae. The record is from RNAcentral.